AGGAGUGUAGCUCAGCUGGUAGAGCGUCGGUCUCCAAAACCGAAAGUCGUGGGUUCGAGUCCCCCCACUCCUGCCA
RNAcentral lists this transfer RNA (76 nucleotides) under Caulobacter sp. RNAcentral's name for it is "tRNA-Trp". It matches the Rfam family "tRNA". From Rfam's summary of the family: Transfer RNA (tRNA) molecules are approximately 80 nucleotides in length. Their secondary structure includes four short double-helical elements and three loops (D, anti-codon, and T loops). Further hydrogen bonds mediate the characteristic L-shaped molecular structure. tRNAs have two regions of fundamental functional importance: the anti-codon, which is responsible for specific mRNA codon recognition, and the 3' end, to which the tRNAs corresponding amino acid is attached (by aminoacyl-tRNA synthetases). tRNAs cope with the degeneracy of the genetic code in two manners: having more than one tRNA (with a specific anti-codon) for a particular amino acid; and 'wobble' base-pairing, i.e. permitting non-standard base-pairing at the 3rd anti-codon position. The record is from RNAcentral. RNAcentral also lists the same sequence under 48 other names. Lineage: Bacteria; Pseudomonadati; Pseudomonadota; Alphaproteobacteria; Caulobacterales; Caulobacteraceae.